Molecule: long non-coding RNA, 5164 nt
Organism: Megalobrama amblycephala (Wuchang bream)
Lineage: Eukaryota; Metazoa; Chordata; Actinopteri; Cypriniformes; Xenocyprididae
Exons: 3
Source: RefSeq, a predicted model, not a curated record
AUCCCAACAUCAUCUCUUCUCUUCUCUAAUGACAUGUUUACUGGAGAGGGGGUGGGACAACCUGUCACUCAAAUGAGAUCACAGCAAUAGCAAAUCACAACCAUCCAAUCAAUUCCCAGAUAGACAAAAUCAAGUCAGUUUUUCUUGUUUGAGAAGCUGGUCCACUUGGAUAUACAUCACAAUAGUGAAGAAAAGACUAUUGCAAACUCCAUUUCAUGCCGACUUUAAAAUUAUGAUCAUUUUUUGCAGUGUAAAAAGUUUCUUUUAUUGUAACUGCAUUGCCGAGAACAGCCAGUACCUGUUCAAAUUUUCUCCUUUGUGUUCCACAGAAGUAAGAAACUCCUUUGAGCAGGGUUUGGAACGACAUGAAGAGGAUUUGGGGUUUUAUGUCCCAUCUGUCAUGGCACAUUUGUUGGGCUGCAUUACAAACAAAAUCACCCAGUGGGAACAGUGGACCUGAUCCUGAAAUCGAGACGAGAAUCACGUUUCAGUUGCACACAAGGAGAGAAACCCAGUCAGUUUGAUGCCCAGUCAGAAGACGCUGUGGCUGCGGGCGGUGGACGGACGAAAGCCUGCAAGCUUUUCUCAUUUUUACAUAUGAGAUUCCUGGUUCCUGCGUUCCUGCUGAGUAAAUAUUAAAAAAAAAAAAUUGGAGUAAAUUAUUUGGUGAAUCACUCAAAGAUAUUUGCUUGAUUUGUUUCUGAAUGGAUCUUUUUGAAAGAAUUGGUUGUGUGAAUGAUUCAAAAACUUGUCACUAAAUGAAUCAGUAAAAACUUGUCACUUCCUGAAUCAUUUGGUGCAUUCGAAUAGGUAUUACAUCUGAAUUUAUUGUAUAAAUAUGGGUAAUAUGAAUGAAAUUCGGAUUUACAACGUUACUGCAUGUGGCGUACCAGCGUCAGUUGCAUUGCUUCACUGCUACUUAUAAACCCUCUCACAUGGCAUGGGAUAGUAAAGUGUCCCUCGAAUGCACAUUUUAGAAUCUCUGCGAAAGUAGUAGGUCAUCUGGAUACUUUUUGCAUACUGUUUUUUCAAAUACUAUGUAUUUGGACAUAAUAAUAAUCCCAUAUUGUCAUACUGCAAAACACAACACUAUGCACUUUUAAAUGUCUCCAUUCUAUACAUUUAAGGCCUCCUCUUUCAUCAUCUUUUGAAGAAGGAUGACGAGAAGACUUUUUUUUCCCAGGGAGACCUUGAAUGAGGGCUUCUGAAUGAUUAGGCUAUGCUGUUCAUGUAAGCAAGCUUUCACACUGGGAAGAACAGGCCAGGUGAAAAAGAGCUCUUCCAUUAACAUUCACUCACAGGCGUCUUUGCUCAGGGUGCAUCUGUCACACAAGAGUUAGUUGAAAAUAAAUGGCAUGGGAAUGCCAUCUAUUUGUCAGCUAUGAGUGAUGCGGUGCCUGAUUCAGAUCAGGCCACUGCACAUAGUAGAACAACAGCCUCUCAGAAAGAAUACCAGGGGAAAUGGUAAAAAUUGCUUUGGCCCCUCGGUUAUUGUUUUACAGGAUGCGUCAUAUUUUUUGUUGUCCUGCAGAAUCUCAGAAAGAUUCAUGUCAGAUAAGACUAUUACUCGUCCAUGGAUUGAAUCCAAAUGCAACUGGUAGGGAAGCACAAGGAAAAAAAACUGAAGGUCUUGAAUGUUAAAGUUCCUAGCUUACAAAGCACUUGUUAACAAAACAAACAUUUGAUCUAUUUUUCCAGGUUCUACAGAGGUAGUCGAAGAGCUAAGAUCAAGGCCUAAACACUUUUGAGCAGUAAACCUCUUGGAAGUACUAGGUAUAAAAGGCUGAGAUUACUUUUUCAAGGAAAGAAGAGGUUUUGUGCACAGUGAAAGCCCAAGCAUUUGGACUUUUAAAACAAUAUUUUUGUAUUACAUAACAAAAUAUCUAACCAAAUAACAUUCAUUUUAAAGAAAGAUAUAGCACAAGCACACUUUUCACAUGAAAUAUUUUACAAAAAAUGAUGCCAGCGAUGCAGCUGACGCUGGUAUGCCACAGUAAAAUGUUGUACGUUCGAAUUUCUUUCAUAUUACCCAUAUAUAUACGAUAAUAGAUCAAAUAGGGACAAAAAGUACUGGUUGUCAGAUGUUAGUGGAACAGAAUUGGUUAAUCUGAACACCUGUGUGAACUGUGUCCACUAAAAUACAUGGAAGACAGUUGUUUUUCAGUUUUUCCAAGCUUCAGAAUUUAAAAAUAAAAAACUGGAAAGGUAUAACGACUUUAUAUUGUACAGUGUAGCCUACACUGAAAAAUGCUGUAGGAUUUAUUUUGAAAGUUUUCAUUCAGAAAUUGCUAGUAAAUUGAAACUGCAAGUAACGCAUUUCAUUAAAUGUGACAUUUUCAAGUAGAAAGACUAUGAUCGUAUUUUCUUGUAAAACAUACUCCAAUUAUUUACAACUUCGAUUUUUUUUUUUUUUUUACAGUGUAACACUUUCUUUUUUAAAAGGGAUAGUUCACCCCAAAAUGAAAAUUCUGUCACCCUUAUGUCAUACAAAACCUGUAUAACUUUCUUCACUGUACCAUAAAAGAAGAGUCCAUCCAAUGAAGUCAAUCAAAAACAUUCUGGCCAAAUUAUCCCUGUACGAUGGAUGGAUGGUUGGAUGGAUAGUCAAUAAAGUUGAAAAGUUAGUUCACAGAAAAGUUUUCAUUUUGUUUGCAGAUCCCACUAGGUUUGAUAUUUGAUAUCUAAUAGAAUGAAAAUCAAACAAGCAUUCCCACUACUUUUUGGGGCCACUGUAUUAUACAUGUGAUGGAUAUGCCACAAGUCUCCUCCUGGGUGUCUAACACAGUGUCGAUCAAAUUUUCAUUUAUUUUGUACAAGAUUCAUUGGUUUCAAAUAAAAUAUUUUUUUUUUUUACUAACCAUUGGAGCCAAUGGUCAGUGAAGCCAACAGAGAAAAAUGAACAAUUGAUAGACCUGUGAAUUAGAAAAACUCCAUUAAAAUUCAGCUUUGUAUUUUCUUUCAAGCUGCCGGUUAACAAUUCAUGCUCCAACUGUCAUCCUUAAAUACAUCAGUGUACAUUUCGCUUUCACACAGGUCUGAUUGACGUCAACAUUAUUUCAUAUUUUUAAGCCAAAAAUCACAAAUACUAAACAUCUUGGUCACAAGUCACAUGCCUCUUUAACAUAUUUUAAUGCAAAAAUCCAGAUACGGCAGCAGAGAAGUCAUUUGCGUAUUCUAAACACGAAUCAUUUACAGAUAGUGUUGUAUGCAUUUGUGAUUUGUUUCAAAAAUAAAACAAGCUUUCAGCAGCAGAAUAUUCAUCUCCAUGCAAAUUAUUCCUAAGGUGUGAGGAGGAGCAUGCGGUGCGCUCACAGGUGUGUUGUGUGAUAGGCGAAUCUCUCUCAGGGCGGGGUUAAUUGACACCUUUAGUGCCACAAUACGCAAGUGUAUCUGCUGUUUUCGGUCUGUUUGUCAGGCAAAACGCUUGCACUGCAACCUGCCUCUCUUUGUUGACUCCAAGGAAAAAGUGCGGCUGGUAAACGGGCCAUUCUAGUGCUAAACUGUUUUAAAAUGCAAUUCAGCACUGCAGUACAAUCACUGGCUUAUGUUGGGUGAAUAAACGGUCGCAGUCGUCCUGCGUUACUGACUCAGCAUGUGGCACCAUGUGAUCUCGGUUUGUCUGUGCUGCUGCUGCUGUCCCACUGGAAUAUUUUACAAGGGUUCGCAAGAAAUGAGGAAAUGACUUAUGCAGAUUGAAAAGCAAUUGGAAUAACCAUUACUUCGACUCGUUUUUUCUGUAAAGAUGAAUGUGUCUGUAAUGACGUGGCAAGUUUCUGAUAUUACCGGUCAUGCUUGGACAGCAAAUACUGACAAGGUCACGGCCAAGGUCAGAUGAAUGAUUCUAAGGUGCCUUAGUUUGUCUCAAAGUUGUCUAAAAAGUGAUUUUAGUACAUUAGUAACACAACACUGAGUAAGUGCAAAUAACAUUGACCUUAAAACUAAAUAUGCAGAGUAUCAGAAGGUCGACUCGUUUGAUGUUUUUCUCCUUGGCAAAUAAUACGCCUGGGUGAUUUUCUUGUGUAACGAACAAAACUUCUCUGGGAAAAAGCAUGUAAGUGCAGCUGUUUCACAGAACUGCGAUCUCCAAUCAAUUUGGUCGCAAAUCACAUUGUGCUCAGCGCAACUGCAAACACCCUUCAUGCUGUAAACUACACUAACGUGGGUUUAAGUGGGCUCUUAGUCAUGUAUCUGCCUAAGGCCAGCGGUCUGAAGCCAGCAGGACUAGGAUGAAGAGAUUCAGCAGGAGCUUUGGUCUGUCCUUACAACCCAGAAUCUCCAUUCCACUCUCACAGCUGUGUUUACACAUCUCAUGCGCCAUUUGAAUACACCCAAGAGUCCUUGGGUUACAAGUACCCCUUUUUCAAACAAAAUGGUGCUGGUGCUCAAUGUGAGGAUCUGUGAACUUCGGACUCUGAUAGCCUAAUUAUGACAUAACUGACCACAAACAAACAUACAGCAACACAGUUUUUGGCUAUAUUCAUAAUAGCUUGCAUAAGAUGAUACUAAUACAGUUUGCAAGUUAGGGCAUUAUGAAUUAUUCGAAUCUGGAGCAAACCCUUGUACCUCUGCUGAGCGCAGAGGUUUUGAACUCUUGAUCAUUUUCAAAUCUAAGAUGUUCUGGCAGCAGCAGUGGUUGAGUUUGUCACCGUCCCAACACGCAUACAUUUAUUCAGAUCUGACCUUUUGGUGCAGCUUAUGAGUUUUUUCCAGUGUGGCAUGUCAUUUAAUGCAUCGUACUUAACCACCAUCUCUGUGUAAAUCGUAUGUAAUCACAGGGAUUUUUGCUUUUGUGUGGGUCAACAAGAGAUGGAAAAAGCUACGAAUAUUCAGGGUUUCGAACAUUUAUUUCAUGCUUAUAUGUGCAUGGAUACCAGCACUGCUGUUUACAAGAAUCAAACACAGAGGUCGAUUUUAACGUUUUUAUUCCAGUAACAGUGAAUUGACAAACAUAUGAGACUACAUUUUAUUAGUAUUAAAAAAUCCUAAAAAUUCAGUGCAUUUGGGACACAAAUGGAAACUUCAAGUAGUUACUUCAUAUGGAUGAACAAUGAACAAUUCACUGCAAAAAAUUCUGUUUUUGUCUCGUUUCUAGUCAAAAUAUCUUAAAGUUCUUAAAUCAAGAAGCAUUUUCUUGACAAGUAAAAAUAAUUUUCUUGUUUUUAGG